UACGUAGGGGGCGAGCGUUAUCCGGAAUUACUGGGCGUAAAGCGCACGUAGGCGGCUUUGCAAGUCAGAGGUGAAAGCCCGGGGCUCAACCCCGGAAUUGCCUUUGAGACUGCAUCGCUAGAAUUGUGGAGAGGUAAGUGGAAUUCCGAGUGUAGAGGUGAAAUUCGUAGAUAUUCGGAAGAACACCAGUGGCGAAGGCGACUUACUGGACACAUAUUGACGCUGAGGUGCGAAAGCGUGGGGAGCAAACAGG
RNAcentral lists this ribosomal RNA (253 nucleotides) under uncultured bacterium. Its description in RNAcentral is "partial 16S ribosomal RNA". It matches the Rfam family "Bacterial small subunit ribosomal RNA", at positions 524 to 776 of the family's 1533-position model. The record is from RNAcentral.